This 447-nucleotide ribosomal RNA is filed under the name uncultured bacterium. RNAcentral's name for it is "bacterial SSU rRNA". It matches the Rfam family "Bacterial small subunit ribosomal RNA", at positions 355 to 825 of the family's 1533-position model. The record is from RNAcentral.
UCGGGAAUUUUGGGCAAUGGGCGAAAGCCUGACCCAGCAACGCCGCGUGAAGGAUGAAGUAUUUCGGUAUGUAAACUUCGUAAGAAUAGGAAGAAUAAAUGACGGUACUAUUUGUAAGGUCCGGCUAACUACGUGCCAGCAGCCGCGGUAAUACGUAGGGACCAAGCGUUGUUCGGAUUUACUGGGCGUAAAGGGCGCGUAGGCGGUGUGUCAAGUCAGUUGUGAAAUCUCCGAGCUUAACUCGGAACGGUCAACUGAUACUGUUAUACUAGAGUACAGAAGGGGCAAUCGGAAUUCUUGGUGUAGCGGUGAAAUGCGUAGAUAUCAAGAGGAACACCUGAGGCGAAGGCGGGUUGCUGGGCUGAUACUGACGCUGAGGCGCGAAAGCUAGGGUAGCAAACGGGAUUAGAUACCCCUGUAGUCCCUGAGCGGGCUGGCAAGGCGCAU